Molecule: long non-coding RNA, 199 nt
Filed under: Nicotiana benthamiana
Lineage: Eukaryota; Viridiplantae; Streptophyta; Magnoliopsida; Solanales; Solanaceae
Description: long non-coding RNA (NBEN_LNC012280)
Source: RNAcentral
AUUUCCCUUCUUCUGAAGGAAAUAUGUCUGUUCCUCAUGGAAAUCCUCCUGAAAGUCAUCACCCUGUUCCAAACAUGGAUGGCCAGAGUUCUGUGAUACAAGGGUUGAGCAGACAACAAUAUGACCAAUUGAUGAUUUUGCUGCAACAAACUCAGUUAGGGGAAUCCAAUGCCCAGACUCCUCCUCCCAUGUAUGCUGC